GACCAAUCGUGUGCUGCCACAUCA
RNAcentral lists this non-coding RNA (24 nucleotides) under Arabidopsis thaliana (thale cress). The record is from RNAcentral. Lineage: Eukaryota; Viridiplantae; Streptophyta; Magnoliopsida; Brassicales; Brassicaceae.